GAUGAACGCUGGCGGCGUGCCUAAUACAUGCAAGUCGAGCGAACGGACGAGAAGCUUGCUUCUCUGAUGUUAGCGGCGGACGGGUGAGUAACACGUGGAUAACCUACCUAUAAGACUGGGAUAACUUCGGGAAACCGGAGCUAAUACCGGAUAAUAUUUUGAACCGCAUGGUUCAAAAGUGAAAGACGGUCUUGCUGUCACUUAUAGAUGGAUCCGCGCUGCAUUAGCUAGUUGGUAAGGUAACGGCUUACCAAGGCAACGAUGCAUAGCCGACCUGAGAGGGUGAUCGGCCACACUGGAACUGAGACACGGUCCAGACUCCUACGGGAGGCAGCAGUAGGGAAUCUUCCGCAAUGGGCGAAAGCCUGGCGGAGCAACGCCGCGUCAGUGAUGAAGGUCUUCGGAUCGUAAAACUCUGUUAUUAGGGAAGAACAUAUGUGUAAGUAACUGUGCACAUCUUGACGGUACCUAAUCAGAAAGCCACGGCUAACUACGUG
RNAcentral lists this ribosomal RNA (497 nucleotides) under uncultured bacterium. RNAcentral describes it as "partial 16S ribosomal RNA". It matches the Rfam family "Bacterial small subunit ribosomal RNA", at positions 28 to 507 of the family's 1533-position model. The record is from RNAcentral.